CGCCCAAUAGCUAGCCCCCACACACAACUUCAACCAACCCCUGUUAAUAACCCCUAAGUACCCCCCGUAUUUAAAUUAAACAAAC
This 85-nucleotide ribosomal RNA is filed under the name Furcina osimae. RNAcentral describes it as "partial 16S rRNA". Lineage: Eukaryota; Metazoa; Chordata; Actinopteri; Perciformes; Cottidae. The record is from RNAcentral.